Molecule: non-coding RNA, 29 nt
Filed under: Andalucia godoyi
Lineage: Eukaryota; Jakobea; Jakobida; Andaluciidae
Source: RNAcentral
GGGAAUGAAUUGUUUUCGACUUUCUAGCG